GACCGAGGGAGCCUCCACGGCUAGCGGCUCGGGCUCGGGCUCGGGCUCGGGCUCGGGCUCGGGCUCGGGCUCGGCUCGGGCUCGGGCUCGGGCUC
Molecule: transfer RNA, 95 nt
Filed under: Pseudomonas aeruginosa
Lineage: Bacteria; Pseudomonadati; Pseudomonadota; Gammaproteobacteria; Pseudomonadales; Pseudomonadaceae
Description: tRNA-???(cg)
Source: RNAcentral